UAGCUCAGGUGGUAAAGUGCUUGCCUUGCAUGCAUGAAGUCCUGGGUUCAACUCCCAG
RNAcentral lists this transfer RNA (58 nucleotides) under Mus musculus (house mouse). It matches the Rfam family "tRNA", at positions 8 to 63 of the family's 71-position model. From Rfam's summary of the family: Transfer RNA (tRNA) molecules are approximately 80 nucleotides in length. The record is from Rfam by way of RNAcentral. Lineage: Eukaryota; Metazoa; Chordata; Mammalia; Rodentia; Muridae.